AGGCGAAACGCCGGCGUCGUCCGCGGCGCCGGUGUCGGGCGGGUCUGGUACCCCGCCCCUGACGAGCCAACC
RNAcentral lists this non-coding RNA (72 nucleotides) under Phenylobacterium sp. Lineage: Bacteria; Pseudomonadati; Pseudomonadota; Alphaproteobacteria; Caulobacterales; Caulobacteraceae. The record is from RNAcentral.